ACUCCUACGGGAGGCAGCAGUAGGGAAUCUUCCACAAUGGGCGCAAGCCUGAUGGAGCAACACCGCGUGAGUGAAGAAGGGUUUCGGCUCGUAAAGCUCUGUUGUUAAAGAAGAACACGUAUGAGAGUAACUGUUCAUACGUUGACGGUAUUUAACCAGAAAGUCACGGCUAACUACGUGCCAGCAGCCGCGGUAAUACGUAGGUGGCAAGCGUUAUCCGGAUUUAUUGGGGCGUAAAGAGAGUGCAGGCGGUUUUCUAAGUCUGAUGUGAAAGCCUUCGGCUUAACCGGAGAAGUGCAUCGGAAACUGGAUAACUUGAGUGCAGAAGAGGGUAGUGGAACUCCAUGUGUAGCGGUGGAAUGCGUAGAUAUAUGGAAGAACACCAGUGGCGAAGGCGGCUACCUGGUCUGCAACUGACGCUGAGACUCGAAAGCAUGGGUAGCGAACAGGAUUAUAUACCCUGGUAGGAUAGCG
This 474-nucleotide ribosomal RNA is filed under the name uncultured bacterium. Its description in RNAcentral is "bacterial SSU rRNA". It matches the Rfam family "Bacterial small subunit ribosomal RNA", at positions 335 to 801 of the family's 1533-position model. The record is from RNAcentral.